ACUACACGAAGCUGGAAUCGCUAGUAAUCGCGAAUCAGAAUGUCGCGGUGAAUACGUUCCCGGGCCUUGUACACACCGCCCGUCACACCAUGAGAGUUGGGGAUACCCGAAGCCUGUGAGCUAACUUUAUAAGGAGCAGCAGUCGAAGGUAGAAUUAAUGAUUGGGGUGAAGUCGUAACAAGGUACC
This 187-nucleotide ribosomal RNA is filed under the name uncultured bacterium. RNAcentral's name for it is "partial 16S ribosomal RNA". It matches the Rfam family "Bacterial small subunit ribosomal RNA", at positions 1315 to 1500 of the family's 1533-position model. The record is from RNAcentral.